CAGGAGCCCGCCCUUCUCCGUGAGCUGCUCGUCGCUGGCAGCAGGCGCUCGGGCUCGGGCGAGGCGUUGAGGGACGGAGCGGUGAACUGAGAAGUGGCGAGGGACCCGUCGUGUGGCGAGGGGGAGUGGGAGGCGGCAGAGCCGGUGGUGGUAUCUGUCUGUGAGGCAGUAGGGAGGUGUGGGGGUGGGAACUGGCUGGUGGCUGUGGGCUCGCAGGCUGUGCUUCUGUCGGGCCAGGUUUUGCUGAGGCAGGAGAAGGUUGUGCUCCCUUCCUGCUCGGGCCUGCACUUCUCAGGGCCCGGGCUAGGCAGCGUGCUGGUAGGGGUGUGCAGGCGUGUGGGGUUUGCAGGGCUUGGUGGUGUCUCCCACAAUGCCACAGUUAAGAUCUGGGAAGGUGGUUGGGGCUGAGACACUGCUUGCUCUCUGGGGUGUAGAGGUGGAAUGUGAGCUUGGGAAGCAGGUGGUAGUCGAGCUGAGUCCUCAGCUGGUACCAGAGAGGGAACCCGAGCAGCCCUCACCUUCAUAUUCACAACCUGCUGCACUCUCUGGAGGCUCCUCUGAGCAGCUUACUUUUCUUUUGUCUGUGCAGAAGGAGCAAGCCAAGAGUAGGCAGAGGCCAGGUGGUAAGAAAAACAAGGGGGUACAGAGAAGGAUGUCUUCUGAAAGGAAGAAUGGUUCUGCUCUGCAGGUAUCAGACAGUUCUGUGUGUGAAGGUGGGCAGGCAGCAGCCAUAGUGGCAGGAGUGUGUUUGGAAAAGACUGUAGGCAAAGAGACAGGACAAGGUCAGCAAUCGUUUUGCUUAGGAACUGACUUGCAGAAGAAAUUGUCAGGAGAGACUGGCAGCCCAGAAACACCAAACCUCUCUGGUUUCCAGGAGAAUACAAGAUGCUCUGGAAAAAAACGCAAGCAUUCCUAUAUGGAAUUGAAAUUGCAAAUCCCAGCCUUAGAGGAGGAUCUUGAGAGAACAGAGAGGCAUAGUGUUGUUUCCUGUUUGUCAGAACCUGAGGUGCUGCAGCCUAGAAUGGGCACGUGUAGCACUGAAAUGAAAGGCACUGCCUCCUUAAUGAUACUGAAUCUGCAAAUCCCAGGUCUUAAGAGUUUGGGGACUGAGGAGUCUUUCUUGUCUGAACCAAAACCUCAGGAAGUGGUGGAUAAUCCAGAGAUUAUAGAUGGGUGUUCCCUAGAAAGGCUGAAAAAGCCAAAGAAGGGAGGAAAGAGGUACUUGACAAAGAAGGGCAGGCAAUCUUUGGUGAAAUCAGAACUACAGGGGGCAAGAAGAUCUGCCCUGCUAGAGCUGUAUACACAGUGUGUGGAGUCCAAGGAAAAUGCUGCAGUUUUGACAGAGGAAGACUCAUUGCCGUUACUAUGUGUGCAGGGCUUAAGUGGCCAAGAACAAUCAGCAACUGAAGGGGAGCAGCACAAGUGUUGCAUCGUCGAACAUCAGCUGAGCUCAGACCUUCAGAAAGGAGCAGAUGGCGUGCAGGAAAGUGCAAAGAAAAAACAGAAAAAAAAUAAACAAAACUCAGGUAUACAAGCUGUGAAGAAGUGUAAAAAAAAUCUCAUGAGAUCAGAAAAUCCCUGUGGAAAGGAGUCUCACUUCUUGGAAUCUCCUGCAGUUGAUGCGUUAACUGGGACACAAAGCAAGAUUUUUGUAUGCCAUCCUGAAACUAAAAGAUCUGGUGUACAGCGUAAAAAAAGAAAACCCAGAACUGAUUCUAUCAAGUGCAUGCAGAAUUUUAGCCUAACUACAGCUGAAAAAGCAAUGAAUUCAGAACAUAAUGAUGCUGAGAAUAGUAGAGACAGCCUAAACAGCUGUGACGACUUGCUGGAUGUAACAAGGAAGAACCCAUUUGUAAGAUUGGAGGCCUGUAGUUUCAUCAAUACAUUUGUAAAAUCUUCAAUGAAUGGAGCUACGAGCACCUUUAAUGUAAGUGGAUUCUUCCAUAAAGCCCAGGAUGAGAGGAAUUCCAUUAGUCCUGGCGGUACUGUAGAAUGGAGUGAUAUGAAUUGCAGCCCUAAUAGAAUGCAAGAUGAGAGAUCACUCAUUAAAGAUAGUUUAGUGUUUAAUAAAGAAGGGCAUUUUUCAUGCAACCAGAGCAAAAACAGUAAGUUCUCAAGGGAAAAAAAGCGUAGUACUGUUAGAAGGAGUAGAAAAAAGAUGAAAAUCACUGAGAUGUCAGCCAUGCAGACUGUUUUGCCGGAUGUUACUAAUGAAUGCAGUAAGCGUGCGUUACCAGCAGAAGCAGCAGUUGCCUCUUCAGACUCUUCUGCAACCUUAGGGCUAAAUAAUCAAGAAGUAUCUCUGUCAAAUGUGUAUGAUUGUGCAUCUCAUCUACGUACAGAAAGCAAUACUUCUGAAGCGCAGAAGAGUAGAAAGAAUAGGAGAAAGAACAGUACUAAACUACUUGCAUUUGAAGAUGGCUGUAAGAAGACAUCUGAUCUGUCUGUAGUAGCAGAAAGAAAAGAUUCAAACACUGUGGCAUCACAGUGCCACCCUGUUACCUCAGGUAGCCUGAGAGCACUAACUCAUGCCCAUAAUGUUUCUUAUCAUCACAACAGCAUGACGGAUGAAAAAUUAAAUAAAGUUAGAAAGAAAUUGCAGCAGUUUACCUGUCAACGAGCAAUACCUAUGACUGGCAAGCAUGUUUGGCCUAUUGAAUCUUGUGCCAGGACUUCUGGAUGGAUCCCUAAAAGUUGUGGGUCUGUCUCAGAAGGAAAAAUAAUUUUAAGUCCAGUCUUUGCAGAGUCCUCUGAUGAAAGCAGUGUAAAAACCAUAGGAAACAGUGCUGUGACAGGGAGUUUGAGACAGUUGGUUUUGCAUACAUCAUUGGCAGAAGUUAACAAAGAACCUGAACAUAAAAUAAUGGAUUUAAAUGCUGGAUGUCUAACUUCAGUUGAAAUCUCAGAAUCCUCUUCUGUGGGUAUUAAUGAGACUUCUAGAAUGAGCAGUGAAAAUGCGGAA
RNAcentral lists this long non-coding RNA (2962 nucleotides) under Gallus gallus (chicken). RNAcentral describes it as "long non-coding RNA NONGGAT003910". The record is from RNAcentral. Lineage: Eukaryota; Metazoa; Chordata; Aves; Galliformes; Phasianidae.